Molecule: long non-coding RNA, 1213 nt
Organism: Orbicella faveolata
Lineage: Eukaryota; Metazoa; Cnidaria; Anthozoa; Scleractinia; Merulinidae
Source: RefSeq, a predicted model, not a curated record
AAGACCGUUCCUUCUAUCAAUUCAAAUAAUACUCUUGAAUAGGCGGGGAAAAAGAGAUUAAAACCCCGAAUGAUGUGUGUUUUAAUUAGACUGCAAACAUAAAAUUUAACUUUCAGGAUAUGACAGUUCCUAUAGUUUUUAAGCAUAUGGAAUAUAUUAAAUUUUGGCGCUUUGGCGGGACCGCUAAAGUGAGUAUUCGUGAUACGUAGAGAAAGAAAAGUGAUGUUAAGCCCGGAAGCAGCAGGGAUUAACGUUUUCUUAGCUUGUGUAAUCUUUCCAAGGCUUGCUUUAAUUUAUCAGCCAAUAUCCAACUUGCAAGCGUGCUUAAUUCCGCUAAUAAAGUUAAUCUAAAGUAAACAAUAAUAACCGUUCUUAAGUGGGUGGAAUAUGUAAAAAUUAUUCUCAUCAAGGUUGUCCCUUAUCAUCCCUUAGCUAAGUUAUUAAAUGAAACAUACUGAGCUUUUAUUAUCAUCAUUAACGUUGUAACCAUUUGUUCAAAAAUAACAAAGCGAUUCUACGGUGAAACGUUUUAUAGCUAGAAUCCGGAUCAUGAGUUUUUUCUUUCCAGACAACAAGUUAACCGGCGAAGAAGCCAAGCAGCAGGCGAACUUUAUAAAACCAAUAAUUUUCUUAAGUAAACAGACUCCGCAUAGCCGGUGCGUGUUACGUCUCCGUCGAGUUAUUCGCUUAUUUUUAAGUGGCGCGUUGGGUAAGUGACAACUAGAGACAAUUUCCCGUCGCGUGGAUGCAGCCCUUAUAAAAACCUUUUACUCACGGAAGACAUGAAUAAUCCGCAAAUAAAGCUUAAGUGAUGGAAAUCAAGAUUUUUCCAGUACUUGUGUUUGCCUUAAUUCUUCUAUGGACUUCACAGGAGCUUCAUGGAUAUACCGCGCAAUGGGUUCAUCACGGUAACCGCGGCUCAGGAAGAAAGAAGAAUGAAAUUUUACAAAAGGAGAGUAGAGGAACCGGAUUACCAUUGAGUAGAAGGAAACUGUGCAUGACUGCAAAAAUGCUUGGUUGUAACGAAGAGUACAGACAAGAAGAGCAGAUAACACAGGAGUGACGGAUAUGACAAGUUUCCGCAUGCAGUCAACCUGAACUUGCAGAAUAAUGGAAUUGCUAACGGCUUCCACAGGAAUUUACUGAAUUUGGGAAAUGUAAAGAACCAUUUAAGACAUUGAUAAAUGAAAAUAAAGCUACGUCUUCUUGAAAA